UAACUGGAGGAAGGUGGGGAUGACGUCAAAUCAUCAUGCCCCUUAUGACCUGGGCUACACACGUGCUACAAUGGACAGAACAAAGGGCAGCGAGACCGCGAGGUUAAGCCAAUCCCACAAAUCUGUUCUCAGUUCGGAUCGCAGUCUGCAACUCGACUGCGUGAAGCUGGAAUCGCUAGUAAUCGCGGAUCAGCAUGCCGCGGUGAAUACGUUCCCGGGCCUUGUACACACCGCCCGUCACACCACGAGAGUUUGUAACACCCGAAGUCGGUGAGGUAACCUUUAUGGAGCCAGCCGCCGAAGGUGGGACAGAUGAGGGGAAGUA
RNAcentral lists this ribosomal RNA (325 nucleotides) under Bacillus sp. LPG-1. Its description in RNAcentral is "bacterial SSU rRNA". It matches the Rfam family "Bacterial small subunit ribosomal RNA", at positions 1160 to 1487 of the family's 1533-position model. The record is from RNAcentral. Lineage: Bacteria; Bacillati; Bacillota; Bacilli; Caryophanales; Bacillaceae.